RNAcentral lists this long non-coding RNA (1382 nucleotides) under Mustela putorius furo (domestic ferret). Its description in RNAcentral is "lncRNA (ENSMPUG00000029031.1)". The record is from RNAcentral. Lineage: Eukaryota; Metazoa; Chordata; Mammalia; Carnivora; Mustelidae.
UGAUUCGUUGUUUCUCCCGGCACUCAGCACAGUGCAGGGCGCAUGCAGCCCUUCCAUACAUGUUUAUUAGAGGAUCGAUUAACUCGUGGGUUAUUUCUAUGAUGAUGUUGCAACCUAAUAAACCAUCCUUCUCUUCCUCAGAGGCAAUUUUCUAACACGAGAAAGAAAUCUCUUGAAGAGCAUUUGGAGCACGCUAGACAACCCGGCCACCCGCUGUCAGUCUUUCGUGAGAACCAAAAAUCUCGUUUCUGCAUCCAUCCGACGGAAAACCAGCACCGAAGACCACACUCUUCAGUUCGUUCCUAUGUGAACACAUAUUACUGUUUUCAGCCAAGAGGAAACAGAAUGGUUUUAGCAAGAAAGUUCUUAGUCUGGGUGGAAGACCCAUACUGCAAUCCCCUUUUGCAGCGCAGAGCUGAGAUGGCUCCUCAGACAUCUUCCUUGUGCCCAGAGAAUCUUGAUAGAGAUGGCCACAUUGAUCCAGAAACUAAAGGAACUAGAGCACAGAGCUGCUGUGCCAUUCUCUCUCCAGCAAGAUCCAAGAAUGAAUGAAAGGGAGCACGAGGAAUGGGCCCAACAGCAGCCUCUGCCUUUCCAAGUGUGGGAGGCAGGUGUCCCUCGAUGGGAGCUAGACUAAGCCUUAAGGAGACUGGCUAUGGGCCAAGCCUGGACAAAAGAAGCCCUGGUGGCCAUACUCCUCUGUGUACCCUGAUUGGAUCUGGAUAAGUUGCAGGAAGUUUUCUGUUCUCUGAUCCUAAAGGACUAGAAUUUAGGGUCUUCUCUUUGUAAGCUUGUCCAGUGUUUCCAUGGUUUUAAUUGACUAAACCCAAUGCAGUAUUGGUUUCUGAAACCCUCAAAGUCCCCAACAGUGAGGAAACAAACAAAAGUAUCUCCCCCAUCGGCUACCCAAGUUCCUAACGAAGCUCUUGAGACAAGCCCUAGGGUUCUCUCAUCCUUAGCUCUUGGUACCCCAGAGGGAUUUUCAUAAGGAUGGUCCCAGGAGAACUGGCAUGAGGGAUUACCUUCUCUUGGGGAAAAUAAAUAUACAAAGCUCCUAAAAUCCGGAGUUUAAGCGAUGGCAUUUUUUCCUGGGCUACUUCUCAAGCCAAAGGAACCAAGGACCGAUCUCAACUUCAAGAAAUACAGCAAUGAUUUGAGGUUUUCUCUGAUACUGUAGAAAGCUGAAUUUUCCUUACUUUGUAGGUUUUAGCUUCCCUUGUAAAUAAAUGGCUCUUGAACACAAGGUGUUUUUACCAGCUUCCUCUGAAUAGAUUCAGCCCUUUCAGUGACUUUUAAAAAUCACUAUCUGGAAAGUGAUUCCUUCUUCCUUUUACCAAGGUCAGAAGCAGUGACUGGCUGUGGGCAGAAGUAAGUGAAAAUGG